Molecule: ribosomal RNA, 576 nt
Filed under: uncultured bacterium
Lineage: Bacteria
Description: bacterial SSU rRNA
Rfam family: Bacterial small subunit ribosomal RNA
Source: RNAcentral
UGCCUAAUACAUGCAAGUCGAGCGAACAGAGAAGGAGCUUGCUCCUUUGACGUUAGCGGCGGACGGGUGAGUAACACGUGGGCAACCUACCCUAUAGUUUGGGAUAACUCCGGGAAACCGGGGCUAAUUACCGAAUAAUCUAUUUUACUUCAUGGUGAAAUACUGAAAGACGGUUUCGGCUGUCGCUACUAAGAUGGGCCCGCGGCGCAUUAGCUAGUUGGUGACGGUAACGGCUCACCAAGGCGACGAUGCUGUAGCCGACCUGAGAGGGUGAUCGGCCACACUGGGACUGAGACACGGUCCCAGACUCCUACGGGAGGCAGCAGUAGGGAAUCUUCCACAAUGGGCGAAAGCCUGAUGGAGCAACGCCGCGUGAGUGAAGAAGGUUUUCGGAUCGUAAAACUCUGUUGUAAGGGAAGAACAAGUACAGUAGUAACUGGCUGUACCUUGACGGUACCUUAUUAGAAAGCCACGGCUAACUACGUGCCAGCAGCCGCGGUAAUACGUAGGUAGGCAAGCGUUGUCCGGAAUUAUUGGGGCGUAAAAGCGCGCGCAGGCGGGUCCUUUUAGGUCUUG